GAGUUUGAUCCUGGCUCAGAACGUACGCUGGCGGCACGCCUAACACAUGCAAGUCGAACGAAGUAGCAAUACUUAGUGGCAGACGGGUGAGUAACAUGUAGGUAUCUGCCCUUUGGCCUGGAAUAACACGAGGAAACUUGUGCUAAUACCGGAUAAGUCUUUACAGAGAAAGCUUUAUGCACCAUUGGAUGAGCCUGCACUUGAUUAGUUUGUUGGUAGGGUAAUGGCCUACCAAGACUGUGAUCAAUAGCUGAUUUGAGAGGAUGAUCAGCCACAUUGGGACUGAGACACGGCCCAAACUCCUACGGGAGGCAGCAGUGGGGAAUCUUGCACAAUGGAGGAAACUCUGAUGCAGCGAUGCCGCGUGAGUGAAGAAGGCCUUUGGGUUGUAAAGCUCUUUCGUCGGGGAAGAAAAUGACUGUACCCGAAUAAGAAGGUCCGGCUAACUUCGUGCCAGCAGCCGCGGUAAUACGAAGGGACCUAGCGUAGUUCGGAAUUACUGGGCUUAAAGAGUUCGUAGGUGGUUGAAAAAGUUGGUGGUGAAAUCCCAGAGCUUAACUCUGGAACUGCCAUCAAAACUUUUCAGCUAGAGUUUGAUAGAGGAAAGCAGAAUUUCUAGUGUAGAGGUGAAAUUCGUAGAUAUUAGAAAGAAUACCAAUUGCGAAGGCAGCUUUCUGGAUCAUUACUGACACUGAGGAACGAAAGCAUGGGUAGCGAAGAGGAUUAGAUACCCUCGUAGUCCAUGCCGUAAACGAUGUGUGUUAGACGUUGGAAAUUUAUUUUCAGUGUCGCAGCGAAAGCGAUAAACACACCGCCUGGGGAGUACGACCGC
This 832-nucleotide ribosomal RNA is filed under the name uncultured bacterium. RNAcentral's name for it is "bacterial SSU rRNA". It matches the Rfam family "Bacterial small subunit ribosomal RNA", at positions 9 to 889 of the family's 1533-position model. The record is from RNAcentral.